RNAcentral lists this unclassified non-coding RNA (744 nucleotides) under Hevea brasiliensis (rubber tree). Lineage: Eukaryota; Viridiplantae; Streptophyta; Magnoliopsida; Malpighiales; Euphorbiaceae. The record is from RNAcentral.
CGGAAUUUAAGGGGAAGAAGAAAUUAUCAGGGUGCUGAACACCAUAUAUCUGAUGAGGAAGAAGAUGGUAAUCAUGAUGUUGGCAAGGAUUCUUCCUCUGCUGAUGAGCGCUCGAUAGAAGUCAAACCAAAGCGGCAGAAAAAGAGGGCAGGACGGCCUUCUCAGGCCUCAGCAGCCAGUGAAGAAAAUGAUGCAGAAACAAACCAAGAAUCAUUUGGUGCAUGUAGUGGACUUAUUCGCUGUUCAGAAAUUCUUGCCUGGGGAAAAGGUGGCAUGCGAAGUAACAACAGGCAUGGGGGUCUUGGUGGAGGCAUUGGCAAAGUCUCCAGGAACAGCAGAGUCUCGAAGCUAAUUGCUUCUCUAUCUCGUUCAGAUGAAUAUGAAGGGAAGUUGGAUGCCAGACUUAUGCUUGUUUCCUUUUCCGAGGAGGAUAUACCAAGUUUGCAACGACCUUACCUUAGUUGCCAGCCAACUAUGGAAGUUAAACAUUUAAGACAGUAUGUAGCUCAGCAGACUUCCAUAGAAGUCGGGGAAAUUGACAUAGUGCUGAUAAAAGAGAAGAACCCCACUGACAACCCUUCAAGUUCUGAUAUCAUGGCCAUUUCCAAACCCAUUGUUGGAGAUCCUUCUAAAGCAGAAAUCCAGACUGUGGAAGAGCAUCAGACACUGGGAGAAAUCCAAGAAACAUUUGGUUUGAACCAGCGUAAUCUGAUCUUAGCAUACCAACGAAAAGCAAAGAAUGGG